Molecule: ribosomal RNA, 742 nt
Filed under: uncultured bacterium
Lineage: Bacteria
Description: bacterial SSU rRNA
Rfam family: Bacterial small subunit ribosomal RNA
Source: RNAcentral
AGCGGCGGACGGGUGAGUAACACGUGGGUAACCUGCCCAAGAGACUGGGAUAACACCUGGAAACAGAUGCUAAUACCGGAUAACAACACUAGACGCAUGUCUAGAGUUUGAAAGACGGUUCUGCUAUCACUCUUGGAUGGACCUGCGGUGCAUUAGCUAGUUGGUAAGGUAACGGCUUACCAAGGCAAUGAUGCAUAGCCGAGUUGAGAGACUGAUCGGCCACAUUGGGACUGAGACACGGCCCAAACUCCUACGGGAGGCAGCAGUAGGGAAUCUUCCACAAUGGACGAAAGUCUGAUGGAGCAACGCCGCGUGAGUGAAGAAGGGUUUCGGCUCGUAAAGCUCUGUUGGUAGUGAAGAAAGAUAGAGGUAGUAACUGGCCUUUAUUUGACGGUAAUUACUUAGAAAGUCACGGCUAACUACGUGCCAGCAGCCGCGGUAAUACGUAGGUGGCAAGCGUUGUCCGGAUUUAUUGGGCGUAAAGCGAGUGCAGGCGGUUCAAUAAGUCUGAUGUGAAAGCCUUCGGCUCAACCGGAGAAUUGCAUCAGAAACUGUUGAACUUGAGUGCAGAAGAGGAGAGUGGAACUCCAUGUGUAGCGGUGGAAUGCGUAGAUAUAUGGAAGAACACCAGUGGCGAAGGCGGCUCUCUGGUCUGCAACUGACGCUGAGGCUCGAGAGCAUGGGUAGCGAACAGGAUUAGAUACCCUGGUAGUCCAUGCCGUAAACGAUGAGUGCUAAGUGU